This 640-nucleotide long non-coding RNA is filed under the name Corvus moneduloides (New Caledonian crow). RNAcentral's name for it is "lncRNA (ENSCMUG00000017555.1)". The record is from RNAcentral. Lineage: Eukaryota; Metazoa; Chordata; Aves; Passeriformes; Corvidae.
GAUCAAAGACUUUUCUCUCCCAGUACGAGUCCAGCACUGUCAAUCACAAGUGCUCUGACCAAGGAGAACAUGGAUGGGACUGUAGGAGCAGCUGGCUCCUGUGACUGUGAUCCACUUUGUCAUCCCCUUUUGCUGGUCCACUUCAGCUAAGGAAGCACCUGGGAGAAGUUUGGUGUUUACUUAAGGCACACCUUGGUGUUCCAGCCCAACCUCUGGAAUUGGAAUAUGGAGAAUGUCAAGUGUGAUACAAGAACCCUUAAUGUUACAGAAUCACAGAAAUAACGAGGUUGGAAAAGACCUUUGAGAUCAUCAAGUCCAACCUGUGACCUAACACCACCUCAUCAACUAAACCAUGGCACUGAGAGCCACAUCCAGUUUUCAACUGUUCUGUUUGGAAAGAAACUUUUGCUUUAAAACUUUUGACCUGUUCUAGGAAGGCAGAAAUAGCAUUUCCAGCCUCUGUGGCCACUGGGGAAUUUUCUGUGCAGAACAUCCCUGUGUGAAAAAGCUGCUGAAAGCUGUUCCCUGGAACAGAGCCACUUCACUCUCAGCUUCUCCAGCUCCCAUUUCAUGCAGGUGUAAUUGCAUUGGUACUGAGGGCUGUGUUGAGCCAGGCCUGGGUGUUUGCCUGCUGGCUGAG